AGAGACUGGAAGACAUAGGGACACUGAAACAUUUGGGGACACUAAGAGACAUGAGGGACACUAGGGAUACUGGUUGCGAGACAGACACUUGUGGACAUGGACACUGGGACACUAGGCACACUGAGAGACAUGGGGACACUGGGAGACACAGGGACACUGAUAAACUAGGGACACUGGCUGGGGGACAUGGGGUCACUGUGUCCCUAGUGUCUAUCAAUGUCCCUAUGUUUCACAGCGUCCCAUGUGUCUCAGCAUCCCCAUGUCUCAC
This is a non-coding RNA of Pelobates cultripes (western spadefoot toad), 268 nucleotides long. Lineage: Eukaryota; Metazoa; Chordata; Amphibia; Anura; Pelobatidae. The record is from the annotation of a GenBank genome assembly.